GGCGGGUCUUAACACCCUUGCAAGUCGAACGAACCUUCGGGUUAGUGGCGGACGGGUGAGUACGUCAUCUGCCCUCAGGAGGGGGACAACAGUUGGAAACGACUGCUAAUACCCAUAUGCCGCGAGGUGAAACGAAUUUCGCCUGAGGAUGAGCUCGCGUCUGAUUAGCUAGUUGGUGUAGGUAAUGGCUCACCAAGGCAUCGAUCAGUAGCUGGUCUGAGAGGAUGAUCAGCCACACUGGGACUGAGACACGGCCCAGACUCCUACGGGAGGCAGCAGUGGGGAAUUUUCCGCAAUGGGCGAAAGCCUGACGGAGCAACGCCGCGUGAGGGAUGAAGGCCUCUGGGCUGUAAACCUCUUUUAUCAAGGAAGAAGAUCUGACGGUACUUGAUGAAUAAGCCACGGCUAAUUCCGUGCCAGCAGCCGCGGUAAUACGGGAGUGGCAAGCGUUAUCCGGAAUUAUUGGGCGUAAAGCGUCCGCAGGCGGCCCUUCAAGUCUGCUGUUAAAAAGUGGAGCUUAACUCCAUCAUG
RNAcentral lists this ribosomal RNA (531 nucleotides) under uncultured Synechococcus sp. RNAcentral describes it as "bacterial SSU rRNA". It matches the Rfam family "Bacterial small subunit ribosomal RNA", at positions 41 to 622 of the family's 1533-position model. The record is from RNAcentral. Lineage: Bacteria; Bacillati; Cyanobacteriota; Cyanophyceae; Synechococcales; Synechococcaceae.